AAGUCGUAACAAGGUUUCCGUAGGUGAACCUGCGGAAGGAUCAUUAUUGAUUCAUGGGAAAGGGGAUGUGCUGGCAAAAGAGCCUCUCUUUUUGCAUUGUGCACUCCUGCAUUCCCUCCAUCUGAAUUUUGUCCCUGUGCACCCUUUGUAGACGGGAAUUUGAACAACCCUUCAUUUUCCUGUCUAUGCUCUUUCGUUACAACCCAAAACUUAGUUGUUUUAAAUGUUUGGCUUGUAUAGCCAGCUUAAAAUAUAAUCACAACUUUCAACAAUGGAUCUCUCGGUUCUCGCAUCGAUGAAGAACGCAGCGAAUUGCGAUAUGUAAUGUGAAUUGCAGAAUUCAGUGAAUCAUCGAAUCUUUGAACGCAUCUUGCACCCCCUGGUAUUCCAGGGGGUAUGCCUGUUUGAGUGUCAUUAUUCAAUCUCAAUGCAAUGGAAGUGUCUGCUCGGUGUUUCCUUGCAUUGGACAGUGAAGGUUGCUGGGUACCACCAGCUUCUUUGGAAUGCAUUAGCAGUAAAUAAGCAGAGUCGGCUUCGGUUUGAUAUGAUCUAUGCUGUUGCCGUCGGAGCUUCAUGUUCUGCUGACUUGUCUUUGUAUGAGACUGUCCAUCCAGUGGAUACUUUAUGUAGCUUGGCCUCAAAUCAGGUAGGAUCACCCGCUGAACUUAA
This 669-nucleotide ribosomal RNA is filed under the name uncultured fungus. Its description in RNAcentral is "eukaryotic LSU rRNA". The stretch from base 261 to 414 matches the Rfam family "5.8S ribosomal RNA". Lineage: Eukaryota; Fungi. The record is from RNAcentral.